AGGUUCGACUCGAGCGCCAGCGAGAGAGCGUUGCCGCAGGCAAGACCCGAAG
Molecule: small RNA, 52 nt
Filed under: Escherichia coli
Lineage: Bacteria; Pseudomonadati; Pseudomonadota; Gammaproteobacteria; Enterobacterales; Enterobacteriaceae
Description: RtT RNA
Source: RNAcentral